Molecule: ribosomal RNA, 2459 nt
Filed under: Salmonella enterica subsp. enterica serovar Brandenburg
Lineage: Bacteria; Pseudomonadati; Pseudomonadota; Gammaproteobacteria; Enterobacterales; Enterobacteriaceae
Description: bacterial LSU rRNA
Rfam family: Bacterial large subunit ribosomal RNA
Source: RNAcentral
GUGAACCAGUACCGUGAGGGAAAGGCGAAAAGAACCCCGGCGAGGGGAGUGAAAAAGAACCUGAAACCGUGUACGUACAAGCAGUGGGAGCACAGGUUUACCUGUGUGACUGCGUACCUUUUGUAUAAUGGGUCAGCGACUUAUAUUCUGUAGCAAGGUUAACCGAAUAGGGGAGCCGGAGGGAAACCGAGUCUUAAUUGGGCGUUAAGUUGCAGGGUAUAGACCCGAAACCCGGUGAUCUAGCCAUGGGCAGGUUGAAGGUUGGGUAACACUAACUGGAGGACCGAACCGACUAAUGUUGAAAAAUUAGCGGAUGACCUGUGGCUGGGGGUGAAAGGCCAAUCAAACCGGGAGAUAGCUGGUUCUCCCCGAAAGCUAUUUAGGUAGCGCCUCGUGAAUUCAUCUCCGGGGGUAGAGCACUGUUUCGGCUAGGGGGCCAUCCCGGCUUACCAACCCGAUGCAAACUGCGAAUACCGGAGAAUGUUAUCACGGGAGACACACGGCGGGUGCUAACGUCCGUCGUGAAGAGGGAAACAACCCAGACCGCCAGCUAAGGUCCCAAAGUCAUGGUUAAGUGGGAAACGAUGUGGGAAGGCCCAGACAGCCAGGAUGUUGGCUUAGAAGCAGCCAUCAUUUAAAGAAAGCGUAAUAGCUCACUGGUCGAGUCGGCCUGCGCGGAAGAUGUAACGGGGCUAAACCAUGCACCGAAGCUGCGGCAGCGACGCUGAUGCGUUGUUGGGUAGGGGAGCGUUCUGUAAGCCUGCGAAGGUGGCCUGUGAGGGUUGCUGGAGGUAUCAGAAGUGCGAAUGCUGACAUAAGUAACGAUAAAGCGGGUGAAAAGCCCGCUCGCCGGAAGACCAAGGGUUCCUGUCCAACGUUAAUCGGGGCAGGGUGAGUCGACCCCUAAGGCGAGGCCGAAAGGCGUAGUCGAUGGGAAACGGGUUAAUAUUCCCGUACUUGGUGUUACUGCGAAGGGGGGACGGAGAAGGCUAUGUUGGCCGGGCGACGGUUGUCCCGGUUUAAGCGUGUAGGUGUGUGUUCCAGGUAAAUCCGGUUCACUUUAACACUGAGGCGUGAUGACGAGGCACUACGGUGCUGAAGCAACAAAUGCCCUGCUUCCAGGAAAAGCCUCUAAGCAUCAGGUAACAUCAAAUCGUACCCCAAACCGACACAGGUGGUCAGGUAGAGAAUACCAAGGCGCUUGAGAGAACUCGGGUGAAGGAACUAGGCAAAAUGGUGCCGUAACUUCGGGAGAAGGCACGCUGACACGUAGGUGAAGUGAUUUACUCAUGGAGCUGAAGUCAGUCGAAGAUACCAGCUGGCUGCAACUGUUUAUUAAAAACACAGCACUGUGCAAACACGAAAGUGGACGUAUACGGUGUGACGCCUGCCCGGUGCCGGAAGGUUAAUUGAUGGGGUCAGCGCAAGCGAAGCUCCUGAUCGAAGCCCCGGUAAACGGCGGCCGUAACUAUAACGGUCCUAAGGUAGCGAAAUUCCUUGUCGGGUAAGUUCCGACCUGCACGAAUGGCGUAAUGAUGGCCAGGCUGUCUCCACCCGAGACUCAGUGAAAUUGAACUCGCUGUGAAGAUGCAGUGUACCCGCGGCAAGACGGAAAGACCCCGUGAACCUUUACUAUAGCUUGACACUGAACAUUGAGCCUUGAUGUGUAGGAUAGGUGGGAGGCUUUGAAGUGUGGACGCCAGUCUGCAUGGAGCCGACCUUGAAAUACCACCCUUUAAUGUUUGAUGUUCUAACGUGGACCCGUGAUCCGGGUUGCGGACAGUGUCUGGUGGGUAGUUUGACUGGGGCGGUCUCCUCCUAAAGAGUAACGGAGGAGCACGAAGGUUGGCUAAUCCUGGUCGGACAUCAGGAGGUUAGUGCAAUGGCAUAAGCCAGCUUGACUGCGAGCGUGACGGCGCGAGCAGGUGCGAAAGCAGGUCAUAGUGAUCCGGUGGUUCUGAAUGGAAGGGCCAUCGCUCAACGGAUAAAAGGUACUCCGGGGAUAACAGGCUGAUACCGCCCAAGAGUUCAUAUCGACGGCGGUGUUUGGCACCUCGAUGUCGGCUCAUCACAUCCUGGGGCUGAAGUAGGUCCCAAGGGUAUGGCUGUUCGCCAUUUAAAGUGGUACGCGAGCUGGGUUUAGAACGUCGUGAGACAGUUCGGUCCCUAUCUGCCGUGGGCGCUGGAGAACUGAGGGGGGCUGCUCCUAGUACGAGAGGACCGGAGUGGACGCAUCACUGGUGUUCGGGUUGUCAUGCCAAUGGCACUGCCCGGUAGCUAAAUGCGGAAGAGAUAAGUGCUGAAAGCAUCUAAGCACGAAACUUGCCCCGAGAUGAGUUCUCCCUGAGACUUUAGGUCUCCUGAAGGAACGUUGAAGACGACGACGUUGAUAGGCCGGGUGUGUAAGCGCAGCGAUGCGUUGAGCUAACCGGUACUAAUGAACCGUGAGGCUUAACCUU